AUUGAACGCUGGCGGCAGGCCUAACACAUGCAAGUCGAGCGAGCGGCGGACGGGUGAGUAAUCUCUGGGAAACUGCCUGAUGUAGGGAGAUAACUACUGGAAACGGUAGCUACUACAGCAUACCAUCAGAUGUGCCCAGAUGGGAUUAGCUAGUAGGUGGGGUAAAGCCUCCCCUAGGCGACGAUCCCUAGCUGGUCUGAGAGGAUGACCAGCCACACUGGAAAUGAGACACGGUCCAGACUCCUACGGGAGGCAGCAGUUGGGAAUAUUGCGCAAUGGGCGCAAGCCGGAUGCAGCCAUGCCGCGUGUAUGAAGAAGGCCUUCGGUUUGUAAAGCACUUUCAUCGAGGAGGCGGUAGCCGCAGAGGAAGCACCGGCUAACUCCGUGCCAGCAGCCGCGGUAAUAC
This 406-nucleotide ribosomal RNA is filed under the name uncultured bacterium. Its description in RNAcentral is "partial 16S ribosomal RNA". It matches the Rfam family "Bacterial small subunit ribosomal RNA", at positions 30 to 526 of the family's 1533-position model. The record is from RNAcentral.